CGGACGAGAAGCUUGCUUCUCUGAUGUUAGCGGCGGACGGGUGAGUAACACGUGGAUAACCUACCUAUAAGACUGGGAUAACUUCGGGAAACCGGAGCUAAUACCGGAUAAUAUUUUGAACCGCAUGGUUCAAAAGUGAAAGACGGUCUUGCUGUCACUUAUAGAUGGAUCCGCGCUGCAUUAGCUAGUUGGUAAGGUAACGGCUUACCAAGGCAACGAUGCAUAGCCGACCUGAGAGGGUGAUCGGCCACACUGGAACUGAGACACGGUCCAGACUCCUACGGGAGGCAGCAGUAGGGAAUCUUCCGCAAUGGGCGAAAGCCUGACGGAGCAACGCCGCGUGAGUGAUGAAGGUCUUCGGAUCGUAAAACUCUGUUAUUAGGGAAGAACAUAUGUGUAAGUAACUGUGCACAUCUUGACGGUACCUAAUCAGAAAGCCACGGCUAACUACGUGCCAGCAGCCGCGGUAAUACGUAGGUGGCAAGCGUUAUCCGGAAUUAUUGGGCGUAAAGCGCGCGUAGGCGGUUUUUUAAGUCUGAUGUGAAAGCCCACGGCUCAACCGUGGAGGGUCAUUGGAAACUGGAAAACUUGAGUGCAGAAGAGGAAAGUGGAAUUCCAUGUGUAGCGGUGAAAUGCGCAGAGAUAUGGAGGAACACCAGUGGCGAAAGCGACUUUCUGGUCUGUAACUGACGCUGAUGUGCGAAAGCGUGGGGAUCAAACAGGAUUAGAUACCCUGGUAGUCCACGCCGUAAACGAUGAUUCUAAGUGUUAGGGGGUUUCCGCCCCUUAGUGCUGCAGCUAACGCAUAAGCACU
This 814-nucleotide ribosomal RNA is filed under the name Staphylococcus aureus. RNAcentral's name for it is "bacterial SSU rRNA". It matches the Rfam family "Bacterial small subunit ribosomal RNA", at positions 67 to 868 of the family's 1533-position model. The record is from RNAcentral. Lineage: Bacteria; Bacillati; Bacillota; Bacilli; Caryophanales; Staphylococcaceae.